RNAcentral lists this ribosomal RNA (541 nucleotides) under uncultured bacterium. RNAcentral's name for it is "partial 16S ribosomal RNA". It matches the Rfam family "Bacterial small subunit ribosomal RNA", at positions 355 to 889 of the family's 1533-position model. The record is from RNAcentral.
UGGGGAAUUUUGGACAAUGGGGGCAACCCUGAUCCAGCCAUCCCGCGUGUGCGAUGAAGGCCUUCGGGUUGUAAAGCACUUUUGGCAGGGAAGAGACAGCCUGGGAUAAUACCCCGGGCGACUGACGGUACCUGCAGAAUAAGCACCGGCUAACUACGUGCCAGCAGCCGCGGUAAUACGUAGGGUGCAAGCGUUAAUCGGAAUUACUGGGCGUAAAGCGUGCGCAGGCGGUUCGGAAAGAAAGGUGUGAAAUCCCAGGGCUUAACCUUGGAACUGCACUUUUAACUACCGAGCUAGAGUACGUCAGAGGGGGGUAGAAUUCCACGUGUAGCAGUGAAAUGCGUAGAGAUGUGGAGGAAUACCGAUGGCGAAGGCAGCCCCCUGGGAUGAUACUGACGCUCAUGCACGAAAGCGUGGGGAGCAAACAGGAUUAGAUACCCUGGUAGUCCACGCCCUAAACGAUGUCAACUAGCUGUUGGGGUUUAUUAACCUUAGUAGCGCAGCUAACGCGUGAAGUUGACCGCCUGGGGAGUACGGUCGC